RNAcentral lists this long non-coding RNA (231 nucleotides) under Lathyrus oleraceus (garden pea). RNAcentral describes it as "Pisum sativum (pea) long non-coding RNA (PSAT_LNC005701)". The record is from RNAcentral. Lineage: Eukaryota; Viridiplantae; Streptophyta; Magnoliopsida; Fabales; Fabaceae.
AGGAUUUUUGGAAUUGUUUUGGUAUGCUUUUGGUUGAAGUCAUUCUGUUUGGACUUUUGGUGUUGUAUUUGACCUAGUUUGUACCAAAUUGUGCAUGAAAUGAUAUUGGUGAAUGAUAUGAGCAUGGGACCAAUUGCAUUUGCUUUUGAAUUGCUUGAAUUUGAUUUUGGUUGAAGAUUCCUUGCUGUUUAGAUUUUUUUCUCACCUUUGGACCCUAGGCUUGGCCUAGUG